RNAcentral lists this unclassified non-coding RNA (414 nucleotides) under Hevea brasiliensis (rubber tree). Lineage: Eukaryota; Viridiplantae; Streptophyta; Magnoliopsida; Malpighiales; Euphorbiaceae. The record is from RNAcentral.
CUCGGUAAAUUUACCAGGACCUAGUAGGCCAAAUAGCUUAAAAGAGAAUGUCGCUGUUGUGCCAGAUUCCCGGGUGGUGGAGAGUUGUGACAGAAGCCUCACAAAACGUCUGGUGAACAUGUUGGGAUCAAUAUCUGCACCUCCUGCUUAUGCUGCAGAACCAACUUCUUCUAGCAAAUCUGUGGGACUUAUGUCUGCAACUAAUUCUGCAAGCUCUUCCAUCCAUGUCACUGCUGGGAUGAUUCAGAUUCGUGGUUUUGAAGUGAUGGGCAGGGCCGAGCACUGGUCCAUGCAUAGAAAUGGAGACAUGGGUUUUCUCCUUUCAUGCGGUGUGGCAUCUAGGAAGUCUGAUGAUGGGUUUGAGACCGUUCCAAAAAUCAGGGGCUGGUCUAUGUCGGUGGUACUGCGUGGUGG